This is a long non-coding RNA of Papaver somniferum (opium poppy), 665 nucleotides long. RefSeq lists it as uncharacterized. The transcript is spliced from 3 exons. Lineage: Eukaryota; Viridiplantae; Streptophyta; Magnoliopsida; Ranunculales; Papaveraceae. The record is from RefSeq and is a predicted model, not a curated record.
UAGAUGUCCUCCAAUUUUUCUUAGUUUCAGUCUCUUUUCAGAUCCUUUCUUGCCGAAAUUGAUUGAAUCGAAGAAAUCUCUCUUUUUAUCAUAUUCCUUGUAUAAGAUUUGUGGAUUUGGAAAAGUUUUAAUAUUAGUUGCAGUGUUACAAAUCCUAGAUUCGGAGGAAAUUGGACUUUUGGGUGAUGGCAGAUUUGAUGGUUAUUGAUGUGUUACGGAUUGAGCAGGGUCUGAUGGUGAAGAAAAAAUUGAAAAGAAAGAUGGUUUCUUUAGAAAACGUUAGUGUACAAGAUAGGGAAAGUAAUAUUAAUGGGUUAAGGGAAGAAAUUGAGAGUUUGUAUAGGUAUAUUAAGAAGGGAUUAUUGGUAGAAAAUUUUGAAUUUUGAUAAGAGCGAUGUUUGUGGGGGAUUAUGAGAAAUUGAAGAAUACAAAUGGGAUUGGUAAUGUUUUUACACUAUACGUUCCAGGGAGACAGUGGUAUGAAUUGACUCAGGUGUCUUAGGAGCAUAGGCAACCGUGAAACAAAUUCAAUUGAUAAUAAUUCAAUUGACAAUACUCUGCAAGUUACAUAUGGCGCUUAGGAACCGACCUCGGAAUGUUUCUACAAGAAGCUCUUCAGGAACCUUGACUACAACUGGAAACUCGGCUACAACAGGAAAUUUGGC